AGGCUAAUUAAGAAUGUCCCUCAGUACAAUUCCAUGACGCUCCUCUGUUUCCCACAUACAUAUAUUGUCUUAUGGACUAGAUGCAAAGAUCUACACUUACACAUUUUUCUGGACCAACUCAAUUCAGCAAUAUGCACAGAAUUACAAUAUUGUUCCAAAGAUAUGAGAACUGCUAAGCCAUAAAGAGGAAACACUGCUAUAGACUCUGCCGCCUUCUACCUUCCUAACUUUGUAUAAGCUGGAACUUGUAACAAGUUUAAUGUGGAUGGAUCAAUGGCUAGGCCCAGUUGCUGUAAGAAAAUGAAAGAAAUACUCUUUGUUUCUGCUAGCAGAUAAACACAGAGAAAUAUCUCAGAGGUAAUUUAUGAACAAGUUAAGUAAGACUGGACCCAGUAUUGAUCCCUGGGGAAUGCUACUGACUACAGGCCUCCAACUGUAUUUUACUCCACUGAUCAUGAUCCUCUGUGCUCUGACAUUCAGCCAGUCCACGGACCACCUCACUGUCCAUUCAUCUAAUCCACAUUUCCUGAACUUUCCUAUGAAGGAUUGUCAUGGUGUAGCGUAGUUUGGGAUUUUAGUUAAGGAGGGAUCCAUCAGCCAUGGAAGUGAUUCUUUGCAAAGAGGUGCUUACAGCUUCCUCUAGACCCAAUAGAACCAAAAACUGGCUAGUUCAAAUAUUGGCAACUUUUUUAAGCCACUUAAGAAGCUUGACAUGCCUCUGUGAUCCACAUUUAAGAACGAACAAAGCCAGGGAAAGCUCUCUUCCUUCCAGCUUUUGGACAGGUAACUUGGGGGCCCGUGGAGCAGCCCAGUGGGGCCGGGCCAGGCCCUGCUCAGUGCAGCCUAGCUGGGUCAGGCACGGCACGGCUUGGCUGAGGUCUCAGCCACUUCUGCUCGCUGGACACCCAGUGCAGCCCCCUCAGUGUGGGCCAGGCCGGCCAGGAGACAGCCACCCCGGAGCCGCGCAGCCCUGUUCCAUCUGCGGCCCUGCUCCGUGCGGGCCAGCUCCCACAGCCCUGCUCCAUGUCAGCAGCACCGCAGCGUGGCUCGGCCAGGCCAGCCCUCACCCAGUGCAGCCGAGAUUCAUUUGAGGCCACUGCCUGGCAAAGAUCGUGUGACCAACAGCAAAAGGCGAAUUCCAGCUGCAAGGCCCGGGUGAGAUCAACUCUCUUAGUGCUAUAAGAUUCUCCAGAACAGAUGAAGCCUGCAGACAUCAAUCCUCUCCCAAGUCAGAGGAAGAGGAAAGGUGAAGGCACGUG
Corvus hawaiiensis (hawaiian crow) is the source of this 1259-nucleotide long non-coding RNA. RefSeq lists it as uncharacterized. The transcript has 5 exons. Lineage: Eukaryota; Metazoa; Chordata; Aves; Passeriformes; Corvidae. The record is from RefSeq and is a predicted model, not a curated record.